RNAcentral lists this long non-coding RNA (964 nucleotides) under Mus musculus (house mouse). Its description in RNAcentral is "long non-coding RNA chrY:8982580-8983544". Lineage: Eukaryota; Metazoa; Chordata; Mammalia; Rodentia; Muridae. The record is from RNAcentral.
AAUUACACUCAGAAACAUUAACCAUCUAGGCUUUACCUUUUCAUAUGGCCUCCUUGAAAUCCAAAAUGAAAUCCCUACAGAAAUGUCCUGAUGACCUGAGUCACAUUCUGCCCAAGUAAAUCACUCUUGUAUUGUUUUUAUUUUUUUGGUGGUUGGGUUUCUGUUUAUUUGUUUGUUGAUUGCUUUGUUUUGCUUUUGUUAUUAUUUUCCUCCUGUGAAAGCCUUCAGUUUCUGAUUCACCAACAUCCUUGGUGGUUAUUUUCCCUGUUCCAUACUUUCCCUUGUUAUCUUUCAACUGUUCUUAGUGUCAGAAAUGGUGCCAGACUCUUUGAGGCAGCACACUGGAUAGCACAUCAAAAUUCUGUUUAUGAAAACCCAAAGUUAGAGCAAUUACUAUUUUAUUCAAACAAAGCAGAAAUUUUACAGUGUUAAGUACCUUGUAUUGAAGCCAGUUGCAACCUUGAAUCAUGGAUUCUUUGUAAAAUGAGAAGACAAUCUAGCUCUUGGUCCUGCCUUCAAAGUUGUGAUGAAGUUAAACAAACCCAAUAUCAACCAGUCAUGUUUUAAAGACCUUUAAAAUUUUUCAGUAUUUCUGGUUACAAGUAAUUUCAUAGAUUAAAUGCAGUAAAACAGGGUGAAAUAUAUUUGAUAAUUUUACUUUGGAAUAUGGGUAGACAAAAUAUUGAACGCUGGUAAGUAUGGAAUUUACUUACAAAUUAGCGGGCACUUUAAUUUUUCAUGCCAUAUAGAUCUUCAGUUCUUCCAGAAACAUCAAUUUCUGGCCCUUCCACGGUCACCACCACACUUUGUAUAUCAUUUUCAUAGAUGAUGACACUACCCAUAGUGGGCUAGACCCUUCAACAACAGCCAUCCAAGAAAGAUCCUUCCUUACAGGUGUGGCACUGGCCAAUGUGAUGGAGGCAGUUCUUUAUCUGAGGUUCUAUAUUCCCAGGUUGAGUUAACU